AACGAACGCUGGCGGCAUGCCUAACACAUGCAAGUCGAACGAGAUCUUCGGGUCUAGUGGCGCACGGGUGCGUAACGCGUGGGAAUCUGCCCUUUGGUUCGGUAUACCAGUUGGAAACGACUGCUAAUACCGGAUGAUGACGAUAGUCCAUAGAUUUAUCGCCAGAGGAUGAGCCCGCGUUGGAUUAGCUAGUUGGUGUGGUAAAGGCGCACCAAGGCGACGAUCCUUAGCUGGUCUGAGAGGAUGAUCAGCCACACUGGGACUGAGACACGGCCCAGACUCCUACGGGAGGCAGCAGUGGGGAAUAUUGGACAAUGGGCGAAAGCCUGAUCCAGCAAUGCCGCGUGAGUGAUGAAGGCCUUAGGGUUGUAAAGCUCUUUUACCCGGGAUGAUAAUGACAGUACCGGGAGAAUAAGCUCCGGCUAACUCCGUGCCAGCAGCCGCGGUAA
RNAcentral lists this ribosomal RNA (449 nucleotides) under uncultured bacterium. RNAcentral describes it as "partial 16S ribosomal RNA". It matches the Rfam family "Bacterial small subunit ribosomal RNA", at positions 29 to 523 of the family's 1533-position model. The record is from RNAcentral.